RNAcentral lists this transfer RNA (73 nucleotides) under Dreissena polymorpha. It matches the Rfam family "tRNA". From Rfam's summary of the family: Transfer RNA (tRNA) molecules are approximately 80 nucleotides in length. Their secondary structure includes four short double-helical elements and three loops (D, anti-codon, and T loops). Further hydrogen bonds mediate the characteristic L-shaped molecular structure. tRNAs have two regions of fundamental functional importance: the anti-codon, which is responsible for specific mRNA codon recognition, and the 3' end, to which the tRNAs corresponding amino acid is attached (by aminoacyl-tRNA synthetases). tRNAs cope with the degeneracy of the genetic code in two manners: having more than one tRNA (with a specific anti-codon) for a particular amino acid; and 'wobble' base-pairing, i.e. permitting non-standard base-pairing at the 3rd anti-codon position. The record is from Rfam by way of RNAcentral. Lineage: Eukaryota; Metazoa; Mollusca; Bivalvia; Myida; Dreissenidae.
GCCCGGUUAGCUCAGUCGGAAAUUCACUCGCCUUGUAAGCGAGGUGUCCCGGGUUCGAGUCCCGGACUGGCCA